Molecule: long non-coding RNA, 793 nt
Filed under: Ricinus communis (castor bean)
Lineage: Eukaryota; Viridiplantae; Streptophyta; Magnoliopsida; Malpighiales; Euphorbiaceae
Description: long non-coding RNA (RCOM_LNC003253)
Source: RNAcentral
CUUUUAUAAUAAAUAAAUAAACUGUACAUAUAUAGCAGCCACCUACUCCACCGCUACCAUCAAUUGUGCCGCUUGCACCACCACUAACCUACAGCCACCACCAAUCCACUGUUACAUAGCCACCUUCAAUAACACCAGCGAUAAAUUCACACAACUACUAUCAAUAAAACCCAUCAAUUCUGCUCUUUAUCAACACCACCGUUUUAAAUCAACACCCCCCAUACACCACCAGUAUCGAAUUUGCGAUAAUCAUCAAUCCAAAUCAAUUAAGAAAAAGAAAGAAAAGAGAAGGAAGAACAACAUUUCUUGAUUCACCAUUGCAGCUCCAUUAUCUUCAUUGCCUCUGUCUCCAUUAACCACCAUUUGUUUCUUGAUUUCAGCUUAUUGCUUGAUUUUAAUUUCAAAGAAAAAAAAAGAAGAAAGAGAGCAAAAGUAAAAUGGAGGAAAAAGUUGGUUUAAGGCUGCAAGAUUCACCGGUGAAUGAGAUGUGUUAGUGGAUUUGGUGUUGUUCUCUUCUAUUCUGAUUGAAAUUUCUCUCUUCUCGGUUCAAUUUAGUAGAGAAGAGAGAGAGAGGGGGAAAAAGAGAUAAAGGAGAGUAAUUAAAAUAAUUAUGGAACUUUUUUUUUAUCAAUUAAUAGAGCAAUUGUAAGUCACCCGCUGCAUUUAUCAAAAAAAGGGUCUAAGUGAACCAAAAAUGCUAAAUUUUUGGACUUAAAUGGCCAUAAAAGGGUAAAAUGGCUUAUUUGUCUCCACUCAGAAAGUUCAGUGGCCCAAUUGAACCUUACUCCUUUUU